UGAACGCUAGCGACAGGCUUAACACAUGCAAGUCGAGGGGCAUCGGGGAGUAGCAAUACUCUGCCGGCGACCGGCGCACGGGUGAGUAACGCGUAUGGAACCUGCCCUGUACAGGAGAAUAGCCCAUGGAAACGUGGAUUAAUGUCCCAUAUGACAUUCGGGAGGCAUCUUUCGGGUGUAAAAUUUUCGGAGGUACAGGAUGGCCAUGCGUCCUAUUAGAUAGUUGGCGGGGUAACGGCCCACCAAGUCGAUGAUAGGUAGGGGUUCUGAGAGGAAGGUCCCCCACAUUGGAACUGAGACACGGUCCAAACUCCUACGGGAGGCAGCAGUGAGGAAUAUUGGUCAAUGGGCGCGAGCCUGAACCAGCCAAGUCGCGUGAGGGAAGACUGCCCUAUGGGUUGUAAACCUCUUUUAUUCGGGAAGAAUAAGCCUUACGAGUAGGGUGAUGCCUGUACCGAAUGAAUAAGCAUCGGCUAACUCCGUGCCAGCAGCCGCGGUAAUACGGAGGAUGCGAGCGUUAUCCGGAUUUAUUGGGUUUAAAGGGUGCGUAGGCGGCCUGUUAAGUUAGUGGUUAAAUGUCGGGGCUAAACCCCGGAUUGCCAUUAAAACUGGCGGGCUCGAGUACAGACGAGGUAGGCGGAAUAAGUCAAGUAGCGGUGAAAUGCUUAGAUAUGACUUAGAACUCCGAUAGCGAAGGCAGCUUACCAGGCUGAGACUGACGCUGAAGCACGAGAGCGUGGGUAGCGAACAGGAUUAGAUACCCUGGUAGUCCACGCCGUAAACGAUGCUCACUGGUUCUUGGCGACAAACGGUCGGGGAUCAAGCGAAAGUAUUAAGUGAGCCACCUGGGGAGUACGUCGGCAACGAUGAAACUCAAAGGAAUUGACGGGGGCCCGCACAAGCGGAGGAACAUGUGGUUUAAUUCGAUGAUACGCGAGGAACCUUACCCGGGUUUAAAUGUUGAUGGACUUAAUUGGAAACAGUUAUUCUCUUCGGAGCCGUCAUCAAGGUGCUGCAUGGUUGUCGUCAGCUCGUGCCGUGAGGUGUCGGGUUAAGUCCCAUAACGAGCGCAACCCUUACCGUCAGUUGCCAUCAGGUAAAGCUGGGGACUCUGUCGGGACUGCCACCGUAAGGUGAGAGGAAGGCGGGGAUGACGUCAAAUCAGCACGGCCCUUACACCCGGGGCUACACACGUGUUACAAUGGCCGGUACAGAGGGCAGCUACCUGGAGACAGGAUGCGAAUCUCGAAAGCCGGUCGUAGUUCGGAUUGGAGUCUGUAACCCGACUCCAUGAAGUUGGAUUCGCUAGUAAUCGCGCAUCAGCCAUGGCGCGGUGAAUACGUUCCCGGGCCUUGUACACACCGCCCGUCAAGCCAUGGGAGCCGGGGGUGCCUGAAGUCCGUAACCGCGAGGGGCGGCCUAGGGCAAAACUGGUAACUGGGGCUAA
RNAcentral lists this ribosomal RNA (1447 nucleotides) under uncultured organism. RNAcentral's name for it is "16S ribosomal RNA". It matches the Rfam family "Bacterial small subunit ribosomal RNA". The record is from RNAcentral.